Molecule: ribosomal RNA, 253 nt
Filed under: uncultured bacterium
Lineage: Bacteria
Also listed under: 1 other name
Description: partial 16S ribosomal RNA
Rfam family: Bacterial small subunit ribosomal RNA
Source: RNAcentral
UACGUAGGGGGCAAGCGUUAUCCGGAUUUAUUGGGCGUAAAGAGCUCGUAGGCGGCCGAUCGCGUCGGAUGUGAAAGCUCGGGGCUCAACCCUGAGAGGCCAUUCGAUACGGAUCGGCUAGAGGUAGGUAGGGGAAAGUGGAAUUCCUGGUGUAGCGGUGAAAUGCGCAGAUAUCAGGAGGAACACCGGUGGCGAAGGCGGCUUUCUGGGCCUUACCUGACGCUGAGGAGCGAAAGCUGGGGGAGCAAACAGG